CCCCCCCCCCCCUUUUUUUUUUGUUGAUGUGGCCUGCAACACAAGUGCUGGAAUUUAAAAUGGCCCACUGGUCGAAUAAGGUUGAGCAUCACUGGUUUAGAUGGAUAACUCUAGCUAUCAAAAAACAACCUGGUCACACACUGGUCAAUGUUUUUAGGGAACUGGAAGUAAAAAAAAAAAUUCAAAUAUAUUGAUAUAUUAUUUCAUCUAUUAUUUACAUCUUCAUCUAACUUUCCCUGUUAGACCUAGUAAACUAUUUUAUUUGUUAACCGGCACUAUUGGCUUUGUUUUAUUAACUGGUUACUUUGACUAAUUGAAAUCUGAAAGCUAUUUUUAAAUGAAUGAAUUUGUAUAAUUGCAAUAAACACCACUGUAGUAAUAAGACAAAGCCAAGGGGACAUUUUGAAACAACUCUGUGGUAUACAGUAAGAUUUUAUUUUCAAACUUUAAACAUACAAGUCAAUGAAAGACUAGAAUAUUUCUACAACACAUUCAUUUCCAGUUAUCAAAUAAAAUGCAGAAAUAUUGACACAAGUUCACUGGUCAAGGGUAAAUUUGCUCUUGUGUUGUGGUGUACAUAAACAAAUGUUUUCAGUUGAUCUUUACUAACCAAACAGUAAGUUUGAUAUUGGAUCCUGGACAUCUUUUUCCCAAUCAAUGUGAAUUUGAACAAAUUUUAUAACAUUAGUACCCAAGUGUAUAACUACUUUAAAAAACAACAAAGAUUAUAGAAAAAGAAAAUUUGCUUUCAGCAUACAAUAAUGUUCCACUUUAAUUAAGUGCAGAAAUCUUCAUCUAAUAAUAAUAACAGAGGGACUGAGAGGGUAUGAUUUUAAUCAUGGAUCAUUAUUAAGGACAAACUCAAGUGCAAACCAAUCAGUUAUCACUAAGACCUCUUUCAGCUGGAGGGGGUGGCGAUAUUAAAAUAUCAAACAUUUUGAUCCAAUUUUUAGGUUAGUUUGGUUCUAGACGAGAUCAAAUUUUGUUUCUUGAAAUUCAAUAAAAUUUGAAUUGCUUUGAACUAAUUACAAACUUUGAAGAAUUUUAGCAAGAACUUAGAACAUGAAAAUCAUUAUGUACAACAAGAUAUAGCUUUACAAAACUAACAAUGAAGAUGAAGUUUUUAAUUAAUUUUGUUAAGAAUUCAUAAGCAGCUAACAGUUAGCUCGUCAACAGGCAGGAUGGCUGCUUGGAAGUUCAGUAUGGAACUGUCGUUUGGUCG
Molecule: non-coding RNA, 1222 nt
Organism: Biomphalaria pfeifferi
Lineage: Eukaryota; Metazoa; Mollusca; Gastropoda; Planorbidae
Source: the annotation of a GenBank genome assembly